AUGGGGAACGGUUGGCUCCGCUCCAUCACCAGCGACAGGAUGGUCGUCGCCGCCGCCGCCUGUUGUUCCUGUGCGAGGGUAGAGAGGGAAGAUGACUGGUUUUUUAGCGGGAUCCAAUCUGGUAUGGUUGUCAAUCGAUUAGAGAACAGCGAAAAGUCGCCUGAAGAUUGGAACAGUGAUGGGGAUGGUUCAGGUGGCUCCACUGGUUUGCCUGAAUCACCAUGUUUCACGUCCAGGCUAUCUGUGCUCAAAGUGGGUUCAGUCAUAAGCAAGUUUAGUGAAUUCAAGCGCCAGUUAGUCAGGGAAAUUGGAUUCGAUGGAAUUCUUGAGCUAAAAUCAUGGCAGAAGAUCAACCUGAAAUACAACGCUUAUCUAAUGGAUAGAGUCGAUGUAGAUUCAAGUAUAAUAAAUCUUGAGGGCCAAGGUGUUCUUGAACUAUGUGACAAGAACAUGAAUUAUGUGUUUGGCCUCCCAUGUGGCGAUUCAACCAUACAAGCCGAAGGAGUCGAGCUGUCAGCAGCUUGCAUUGAGUAUACCCGUGUGGCAGCAUCGUUUAGUGACAGAGGCACCCACAGCCUGAAAGCAGCAGAGGCAUACUUAAGCAGAUGCAUAAUAGAAUCAUCUACUUACAAGAUAAAGGAUUGGAAUUGGGGAGGAUAUGUGUUGAAAAAUCUGUUUCAAGCUGUCAAAAAGUUCAAGGCAGAUGUUUUGAGAAGAAACCCAACCGUGCAUAUAGUUGGAUGUCAUCUAUUUCUGCAGCUUUUUGUGCCUGAUAGCCUCGAGCUGGGUGUUCUAAACAGGGCAAGAGGUGUAACCUCGCUUAUAGGCUUGUAUGACUAUGAGUCGAUCAAGAAUAUGGUUGAGAAAAUUACAGUGAAUGUUGCCCCGGGCGAAGUUUCCUUUCACGGCGCAGCGUCAGCGGAGAAACUCGGUAUACUUCUUCGGGAGCAGAAUGCCCGUGGGCUAGCAAAUAUUACAGAAAUACGUCAAGCGUUCUAG
RNAcentral lists this ribosomal RNA (999 nucleotides) under Triticum aestivum (bread wheat). Its description in RNAcentral is "partial small subunit ribosomal RNA". The record is from RNAcentral. Lineage: Eukaryota; Viridiplantae; Streptophyta; Magnoliopsida; Poales; Poaceae.